This 468-nucleotide ribosomal RNA is filed under the name uncultured bacterium. RNAcentral's name for it is "partial 16S ribosomal RNA". It matches the Rfam family "Bacterial small subunit ribosomal RNA", at positions 28 to 507 of the family's 1533-position model. The record is from RNAcentral.
GACGAACGCUGGCGGCGUGCUUAACACAUGCAAGUCGAACGGAAAGGCCCUGCUUUUGUGGGGUGCUCGAGUGGCGAACGGGUGAGUAACACGUGAGUAACCUGCCCUUGACUUUGGGAUAACUUCAGGAAACUGGGGCUAAUACCGGAUAGGAGCUCCUGCUGCAUGGCGGGGGUUGGAAAGUUUCGGCGGUUGGGGAUGGACUCGCGGCUUAUCAGCUUGUUGGUGGGGUAGUGGCUUACCAAGGCUUUGACGGGUAGCCGGCCUGAGAGGGUGACCGGCCACAUUGGGACUGAGAUAUGGCCCAGACUCCUACGGGAGGCAGCAGUGGGGAAUAUUGCACAAUGGGCGGAAGCCUGAUGCAGCAACGCCGCGUGCGGGAUGACGGCCUUCGGGUUGUAAACCGCUUUCGCCUGUGACGAAGCGUGAGUGACGGUAAUGGGUAAAGAAGCACCGGCUAACUACGUG